GACCCCAGGUCAGACGGGAUUACCCGCUGAGUCUAAGCAUAUCAAUAAGCGGAGGA
This 56-nucleotide ribosomal RNA is filed under the name Ilex x wandoensis. RNAcentral describes it as "partial 28S ribosomal RNA". The record is from RNAcentral. Lineage: Eukaryota; Viridiplantae; Streptophyta; Magnoliopsida; Aquifoliales; Aquifoliaceae.